This 1676-nucleotide ribosomal RNA is filed under the name Salmonella enterica subsp. enterica serovar Typhimurium str. DT104. RNAcentral's name for it is "bacterial LSU rRNA". It matches the Rfam family "Bacterial large subunit ribosomal RNA", at positions 1271 to 2925 of the family's 2925-position model. The record is from RNAcentral. Lineage: Bacteria; Pseudomonadati; Pseudomonadota; Gammaproteobacteria; Enterobacterales; Enterobacteriaceae.
UGCUGGAGGUAUCAGAAGUGCGAAUGCUGACAUAAGUAACGAUAAAGCGGGUGAAAAGCCCGCUCGCCGGAAGACCAAGGGUUCCUGUCCAACGUUAAUCGGGGCAGGGUGAGUCGACCCCUAAGGCGAGGCCGAAAGGCGUAGUCGAUGGGAAACGGGUUAAUAUUCCCGUACUUGGUGUUACUGCGAAGGGGGGACGGAGAAGGCUAUGUUGGCCGGGCGACGGUUGUCCCGGUUUAAGCGUGUAGGUGUGUGUUCCAGGUAAAUCCGGUUCACUUUAACACUGAGGCGUGACGACGAGGCACUACGGUGCUGAAGCAACAAAUGCCCUGCUUCCAGGAAAAGCCUCUAAGCAUCAGGUAACACGAAAUCGUACCCCAAACCGACACAGGUGGUCAGGUAGAGAAUACCAAGGCGCUUGAGAGAACUCGGGUGAAGGAACUAGGCAAAAUGGUGCCGUAACUUCGGGAGAAGGCACGCUGACACGUAGGUGAAGUGAUUUACUCAUGGAGCUGAAGUCAGUCGAAGAUACCAGCUGGCUGCAACUGUUUAUUAAAAACACAGCACUGUGCAAACACGAAAGUGGACGUAUACGGUGUGACGCCUGCCCGGUGCCGGAAGGUUAAUUGAUGGGGUCAGCGUAAGCGAAGCUCCUGAUCGAAGCCCCGGUAAACGGCGGCCGUAACUAUAACGGUCCUAAGGUAGCGAAAUUCCUUGUCGGGUAAGUUCCGACCUGCACGAAUGGCGUAAUGAUGGCCAGGCUGUCUCCACCCGAGACUCAGUGAAAUUGAACUCGCUGUGAAGAUGCAGUGUACCCGCGGCAAGACGGAAAGACCCCGUGAACCUUUACUAUAGCUUGACACUGAACAUUGAGCCUUGAUGUGUAGGAUAGGUGGGAGGCUUUGAAGUGUGGACGCCAGUCUGCAUGGAGCCGACCUUGAAAUACCACCCUUUAAUGUUUGAUGUUCUAACGUGGACCCGUAAUCCGGGUUGCGGACAGUGUCUGGUGGGUAGUUUGACUGGGGCGGUCUCCUCCUAAAGAGUAACGGAGGAGCACGAAGGUUGGCUAAUCCUGGUCGGACAUCAGGAGGUUAGUGCAAUGGCAUAAGCCAGCUUGACUGCGAGCGUGACGGCGCGAGCAGGUGCGAAAGCAGGGCAUAGUGAUCCGGUGGUUCUGAAUGGAAGGGCCAUCGCUCAACGGAUAAAAGGUACUCCGGGGAUAACAGGCUGAUACCGCCCAAGAGUUCAUAUCGACGGCGGUGUUUGGCACCUCGAUGUCGGCUCAUCACAUCCUGGGGCUGAAGUAGGUCCCAAGGGUAUGGCUGUUCGCCAUUUAAAGUGGUACGCGAGCUGGGUUUAGAACGUCGUGAGACAGUUCGGUCCCUAUCUGCCGUGGGCGCUGGAGAACUGAGGGGGGCUGCUCCUAGUACGAGAGGACCGGAGUGGACGCAUCACUGGUGUUCGGGUUGUCAUGCCAAUGGCACUGCCCGGUAGCUAAAUGCGGAAGAGAUAAGUGCUGAAAGCAUCUAAGCACGAAACUUGCCCCGAGAUGAGUUCUCCCUGAGACUUAGAGUCUCCUGAAGGAACGUUGAAGACGACGACGUUGAUAGGCCGGGUGUGUAAGCGCAGCGAUGCGUUGAGCUAACCGGUACUAAUGAACCGUGAGGCUUAACCUU